Pelobates cultripes (western spadefoot toad) is the source of this 387-nucleotide non-coding RNA. NCBI's taxonomy places the organism in Eukaryota, Metazoa, Chordata, Amphibia, Anura, Pelobatidae. The record is from the annotation of a GenBank genome assembly.
AAAGUCACAGCCACUCGUCCCCCUACCAUGUCACAGCCACCCACACAUAUUGACACUGUAACGGAUCGCCUGGCACCCCGACUGGGUACCUCCGUUAAAGGAUGCUCCUAGCGCUUCCUGAGGACUCCAAGCACUGCAGCAGACACCACAAUCACCGAACCGGAGAAACAAAUAAAUUCUCCCAAGCAUAUGAAUGCUGUAGACAGUUGAAUAGGAACCAUACGAAUAGGUUUACUCUCCUAGCAGUCAAACUGGAACAGCAUAUAAUAAAUCCUUCCCCCAAUAAUGAGACGACACUUCACUUUGAGGGUUAAGCAGGAACUCUCUGUACUGUCACAUACAGUCUCUUUUAUUCCCAAUCCACAAACAUAGUACAGCCCACAGGGC